GACGAACGCUGGCGGCGUGCCUAAUACAUGCAAGUAGAACGCUGCAGGAGGAGCUUGCUUCUCUGGAUGAGUUGCGAACGGGUGAGUAACGCGUAGGUAACCUGCCUGGUAGCGGGGGAUAACUAUUGGAAACGAUAGCUAAUACCGCAUAAGAGUAGAUGUUGCAUGACAUUUGCUUAAAAGGUGCACUUGCAUCACUACCAGAUGGACCUGCGUUGUAUUAGCUAGUUGGUGAGGUAACGGCUCACCAAGGCGACGAUACAUAGCCGACCUGAGAGGGUGAUCGGCCACACUGGGACUGAGACACGGCCCAGACUCCUACGGGAGGCAGCAGUAGGGAAUCUUCGGCAAUGGACGGAAGUCUGACCGAGCAACGCCGCGUGAGUGAAGAAGGUGUUCGGAUCGUAAAGCUCUGUUGUAGGAGAAGAACGAGUGUGAGAGUGGAAAGUUCACACUGUGACGGUAUCUUACCAGAAAGGGACGGCUAACUACGUG
RNAcentral lists this ribosomal RNA (495 nucleotides) under uncultured bacterium. Its description in RNAcentral is "partial 16S ribosomal RNA". It matches the Rfam family "Bacterial small subunit ribosomal RNA", at positions 28 to 507 of the family's 1533-position model. The record is from RNAcentral.